This is a long non-coding RNA of Gasterosteus aculeatus aculeatus (three-spined stickleback), 272 nucleotides long. RefSeq lists it as uncharacterized. Lineage: Eukaryota; Metazoa; Chordata; Actinopteri; Perciformes; Gasterosteidae. The record is from RefSeq and is a predicted model, not a curated record.
UGGUGUCACAGGCAGACGCUCCCCGUCCCCGGAAUAUUGAGACCUCGUUCCUGCCUGCCUGAUCCUCAACGGUACUUCUGUCUAACUCCACGUAAUCCCGGCUUUCGACCACCCGCCUGUACUCCGGAUACGACCACGCCUGACCCCCUGACGGUGCCUCUGUUUAUCCCCGCUCUCCUGGCUUUCGACCCUCUGCCCGCCUACUGGACUCGACCACGCCUAACCCUUGUCUGUACUUCCACAAUAAAGCUGCGCUCUGCGCUUGGGUUUCA